This 2435-nucleotide ribosomal RNA is filed under the name Listeria monocytogenes. RNAcentral's name for it is "partial 23S ribosomal RNA". It matches the Rfam family "Bacterial large subunit ribosomal RNA", at positions 1 to 2428 of the family's 2925-position model. The record is from RNAcentral. Lineage: Bacteria; Bacillati; Bacillota; Bacilli; Caryophanales; Listeriaceae.
GGUUAAGUUAGAAAGGGCGCACGGUGGAUGCCUUGGCACUAGGAGCCGAAGAAGGACGGGACUAACACCGAUAUGCUUUGGGGAGCUGUACGUAAGCGUUGAUCCAGAGAUUUCCGAAUGGGGGAACCCACUAUCUUUAGUCGGAUAGUAUCCUUACGUGAAUACAUAGCGUGAGGAAGGCAGACCCAGGGAACUGAAACAUCUAAGUACCUGGAGGAAGAGAAAGAAAAAUCGAUUUCCUGAGUAGCGGCGAGCGAAACGGAAAGAGCCCAAACCAAGAAGCUUGCUUCUUGGGGUUGUAGGACACUCUAUACGGAGUUACAAAAGAAAGUUAUAAAUGAAGCGGUCUGGAAAGGCCCGCCAAAGACGGUAACAGCCCGGUAGUUGAAAUGGCUUUCCCUCCAGAGUGGAUCCUGAGUACGGCGGAACACGUGAAAUUCCGUCGGAAUCCGGGAGGACCAUCUCCCAAGGCUAAAUACUCCCUAGUGACCGAUAGUGAACCAGUACCGUGAGGGAAAGGUGAAAAGCACCCCGGAAGGGGAGUGAAACAGUUCCUGAAACCGUGUGCCUACAAGUAGUUAGAGCCCGUUAAUGGGUGAUAGCGUGCCUUUUGUAGAAUGAACCGGCGAGUUACGAUUUGUUGCAAGGUUAAGCGGAAAAAGCGGAGCCGUAGCGAAAGCGAGUCUGAAUAGGGCGCAUAAGUAACAGGUCGUAGACCCGAAACCAGGUGAUCUACCCAUGUCCAGGAUGAAGGUAAGGUAAUACUUACUGGAGGUCCGAACCCACGCACGUUGAAAAGUGCGGGGAUGAGGUGUGGGUAGCGGAGAAAUUCCAAUCGAACUUGGAGAUAGCUGGUUCUCUCCGAAAUAGCUUUAGGGCUAGCCUCGAGGUAAAGAGUCAUGGAGGUAGAGCACUGUUUGGACUAGGGGCCCUUCUCGGGUUACCGAAUUCAGAUAAACUCCGAAUGCCAUGUACUUAUACUCGGGAGUCAGACUGCGAGUGAUAAGAUCCGUAGUCGAAAGGGAAACAGCCCAGACCACCAGUUAAGGUCCCCAAAUAUAUGUUAAGUGGAAAAGGAUGUGGGGUUGCUUAGACAACCAGGAUGUUGGCUUAGAAGCAGCCACCAUUGAAAGAGUGCGUAAUAGCUCACUGGUCGAGUGACCCCGCGCCGAAAAUGUACCGGGGCUAAACAUAUUACCGAAACUGUGGAUGAACCUCUUUAGAGGUUCGUGGUAGGAGAGCGUUCUAAGGGCGGUGAAGUCAGACCGGAAGGACUGGUGGAGCGCUUAGAAGUGAGAAUGCCGGUAUGAGUAGCGAAAGAAGGGUGAGAAUCCCUUCCACCGAAUAUCUAAGGUUUCCUGAGGAAGGCUCGUCCGCUCAGGGUUAGUCGGGACCUAAGCCGAGGCCGAUAGGCGUAGGCGAUGGACAACAGGUAGAGAUUCCUGUACCAGUGCUAAUUGUUUAACCGAUGGGGUGACACAGAAGGAUAGGGAAUCGCACGAAUGGAAAUGUGCGUCCAAGCAGUGAGUGUGAGAAGUAGGCAAAUCCGCUUCUCGCGAAGCAUGAGCUGUGAUGGGGAAGGAAAUUAAGUACGGAAGUUCCUGAUUUCACGCUGUCAAGAAAAGCCUCUAGGAAGAGUAGUACUGCCCGUACCGCAAACCGACACAGGUAGAUGAGGAGAGAAUCCUAAGGUGAGCGAGAGAACUCUCGUUAAGGAACUCGGCAAAAUGACCCCGUAACUUCGGGAGAAGGGGUGCUCUAUUAGGGUGCAAGCCCGAGAGAGCCGCAGUGAAUAGGCCCAGGCGACUGUUUAGCAAAAACACAGGUCUCUGCAAAACCGUAAGGUGACGUAUAGGGGCUGACGCCUGCCCGGUGCUGGAAGGUUAAGAGGAGUGCUUAGCUUCGGCGAAGGUACGAAUUGAAGCCCCAGUAAACGGCGGCCGUAACUAUAACGGUCCUAAGGUAGCGAAAUUCCUUGUCGGGUAAGUUCCGACCCGCACGAAAGGCGCAACGAUCUGGGCACUGUCUCAACGAGAGACUCGGUGAAAUUAUAGUACCUGUGAAGAUGCAGGUUACCCGCGACAGGACGGAAAGACCCCGUGGAGCUUUACUGCAACCUGAUAUGGAAUGUUUGUACCGCUUGUACAGGAUAGGUAGGAGCCGAAGAGACGUGUGCGCUAGCAUACGAGGAGGCAAUGGUGGGAUACUACCCUGGCUGUAUGACCAUUCUAACCCGCCACGCUUAGCGCGUGGGGAGACAGUGUCAGGUGGGCAGUUUGACUGGGGCGGUCGCCUCCUAAAGAGUAACGGAGGCGCCCAAAGGUUCCCUCAGAAUGGAUGGAAAUCAUUCGCAGAGUGUAAAGGCACAAGGGAGCUUGACUGCGAGACUGACAAGUCGAGCAGGGACGAAAGUCGGGCUUAGUGAUCCGGUGGUU